Molecule: ribosomal RNA, 497 nt
Filed under: uncultured bacterium
Lineage: Bacteria
Description: partial 16S ribosomal RNA
Rfam family: Bacterial small subunit ribosomal RNA
Source: RNAcentral
GAUGAACGCUGGCGGCGUGCCUAAUACAUGCAAGUCGAGCGAACAGACGAGGAGCUUGCUCCUCUGACGUUAGCGGCGGACGGGUGAGUAACACGUGGAUAGCCUACCUAUAAGACUGGGAUAACUUCGGGAAACCGGAGCUAAUACCGGAUAAUAUAUUGAACCGCAUGGUUCAAUAGUGAAAGACGGUUUUGCUGUCACUUAUAGAUGGAUCCGCGCCGCAUUAGCUAGUUGGUAAGGUAACGGCUUACCAAGGCAACGAUGCGUAGCCGACCUGAGAGGGUGAUCGGCCACACUGGAACUGAGACACGGUCCAGACUCCUACGGGAGGCAGCAGUAGGGAAUCUUCCGCAAUGGGCGAAAGCCUGACGGAGCAACGCCGCGUGAGUGAUGAAGGUCUUCGGAUCGUAAAACUCGGUUAUUAGGGAAGAACAAAUGUGUAAGUAACUAUGCACGUCUUGACGGUACCUAAUCAGAAAGCCACGGCUAACUACGUG